CCCUUAGAUGUUCUGGGCCGCACGCGUGCUACACUGAGUGGAUCAGCGGGUCAGGUUGCGCGAAAGCGUUUCCUAAUCUUUAAAUCCGCUCGUGAUGGGGAUUGACGGUUGCAAUUUUCUGUCAUGAACGAGGAAUACCUUGUAAGCGCGGGUCAUCAUCCCGCGCUGAAUACGUCCCUGCCCUUUGUACACACCGCCCGUCGCUCCUACCGAUUGAAUGAUCCGAUGAAUACCGUGGAUUGAGUGUUCGAAUGGGUUCUCUCAUUUCAGCAUCUCUGAGAAGCGGAGUAAAUCUUAUCAUUUAGAGGAAGGAGAAGUCGUAACA
This 325-nucleotide ribosomal RNA is filed under the name uncultured eukaryote. RNAcentral's name for it is "partial 18S ribosomal RNA". It matches the Rfam family "Eukaryotic small subunit ribosomal RNA", at positions 1470 to 1796 of the family's 1831-position model. The record is from RNAcentral.